GGGGGUUGAGCAACCUGGUGGUUGAAUGAAAAUUGAUUGCGUUUGGAGAAGAGGAAGAAGGAUUGUGUUUGGGGACAUAGGGACUUCUAAUUCGUUGACCAUGAAAUAUUUUAAUGCAGAGUUCAAAAUUUAAGAGAAAAUAAAAAGCCAUGUUUAAAUUGUUAUUUAAAAAAAACCACGCAGACUAAAUAUAAACGGUGAAACCGGAAUCAAAUUGCAUAAUUCCUGUAUUUAAUAGGUAAAAUGUUAUUUUUAGGGACAAUUGNCUGUAUUGACGACGACAUCCCAAAGUUUUAAUAUAAACAAAAAUACAUUGUCUUCGGAACUGCUUUGAUGAUAUAUAUUUUGGGAUCAAAUUCCGCACCAGCAACAGACUAACCCCACCAUAAAAAUUGUCUGCGUUUAAGGUACGCCCUACGAUUUCCUCAAAAACCCUAUACGACAAAAAAAAAAUCAAAGGACUUACCGAUGACUAUGACAUCAGUUAGGUGUUAGACAAGAAAAGGGGAAGAAGAUGAAAGUCGCCAUCGAUUGGGGGUUGAGCAACCUGGUGGUUGAAUGAAAAUUGAUUGCGUUUGGAGAAGAGGAAGAAGGAUUGUGUUUGGGGACAUAGGGACUUCUAAUUCGUUGACCAUGAAAUAUUUUAAUGCAGAGUUCAAAAUUUAAGAGAAAAUAAAAAGCCAUGUUUAAAUUGUUAUUUAAAAAAAACCACGCAGACUAAAUAUAAACGGUGAAACCGGAAUCAAAUUGCAUAAUUCCUGUAUUUAAUAGGUAAAAUGUUAUUUUUAGGGACAAUUGUGCAAGAAAAUUACUUUAGUGACUAAAUCGAACAAUUGACGAAACGUUAAUGUGCUACAAUGAUAUUUUUCCUAUAAAAUUAAUGGUUAUUCUUUAAUAAAUAUUAUUUCCAAAUUUUAAAAAUUCAUGCAAAAUUUUUGGACAUUACAAACUCACACCCCCUUAAACACGUUCAUUUUUUUUAAUACAUAUAACUCCAAUUUAAUAAUAAGUACCCAUGUACUAGUUGCACAUAAAUCAUGUAUUAUCGAAUGCGAUAACAAAAUUUUGAAAUUUAAAGGCCUCAUGUUUUGUAUUUGUCCCUAGCCUCAAAUUGGCUUGGACCGUCUGUACACUUCCGACAAACCCCAUACCCUACAAGUGCCAUCACCGAGCCUUCGCCUUAGUGCGAUAUCGGUAGAACUUUUGUUUUUGAUAACAAAUUAAUAAUGGAUCUCAUCGAGCAAAAAAUAUGGCUACCGGCGCAAUCAGAACAUAUAUUUUACGAUGAAUAGACGGGUUG
This 1300-nucleotide long non-coding RNA is filed under the name Lactuca sativa (garden lettuce). Its description in RNAcentral is "long non-coding RNA (LSAT_LNC001459)". Lineage: Eukaryota; Viridiplantae; Streptophyta; Magnoliopsida; Asterales; Asteraceae. The record is from RNAcentral.